RNAcentral lists this ribosomal RNA (424 nucleotides) under uncultured bacterium. RNAcentral's name for it is "bacterial SSU rRNA". It matches the Rfam family "Bacterial small subunit ribosomal RNA", at positions 359 to 775 of the family's 1533-position model. The record is from RNAcentral.
GAAUAUUGGACAAUGGGCGAAAGCCUGAUCCAGCCAUGCCGCGUGAGUGAAGAAGGCCUUCGGGUUGUAAAGCUCUUUUGUUGGGAAAGAAAAGCAGCCGGUUAAUACCCGGUUGUUCUGACGGUACCCAAAGAAUAAGCACCGGCUAACUUCGUGCCAGCAGCCGCGGUAAUACGAAGGGUGCAAGCGUUACUCGGAAUUACUGGGCGUAAAGCGUGCGUAGGUGGUUCGUUAAGUCUGAUGUGAAAGCCCUGGGCUCAACCUGGGAAUGGCAUUGGAUACUGGCAGGCUAGAGUGCGGUAGAGGGUAGUGGAAUUCCCGGUGUAGCAGUGAAAUGCGUAGAGAUCGGGAGGAACAUCUGUGGCGAAGGCGACUACCUGGACCAGCACUGACACUGAGGCACGAAAGCGUGGGGAGCAAACAG